CGUGAGAGCUGAGAGCUGACGGUUGUCCCGUAAAUUGCCUAGAAGAUCGCGUUAAAUUCUUUGAAGAAUCCUGGAAAUUGCUUCUAGCAGCUGACGUCCGGAAAAAUCCCCGGUAGUUAUAUAGCAUUGAAGCAUCGAUCAGGUUUUUUUUUCUAUGGUGCACUUUUGAAGCAUCGUGCCCAGAGACAUCAAGAUCACCUUUACAAGAACUUGGAUGGCGAGCCCCAGCCCAGAGGACCGAGUGAACUGGUACACACUGACCCGACUGGUCACCAGCCGUGAAACAUAAAAAAAUAUUUCAAACACAUUGGAAAGACUAAACAAACUUUGAAAGAGCAUUUGACAGACAUCAAAAAAACUGGGUUAUUUUUAAAAAGCGCGCAAUUUUUGUUUAUUUGUACAAUGU
This is a long non-coding RNA of Poecilia reticulata (guppy), 406 nucleotides long. RefSeq lists it as uncharacterized. The record is from RefSeq and is a predicted model, not a curated record. NCBI's taxonomy places the organism in Eukaryota, Metazoa, Chordata, Actinopteri, Cyprinodontiformes, Poeciliidae.